RNAcentral lists this ribosomal RNA (208 nucleotides) under uncultured bacterium. RNAcentral's name for it is "partial 16S ribosomal RNA". It matches the Rfam family "Bacterial small subunit ribosomal RNA", at positions 1293 to 1500 of the family's 1533-position model. The record is from RNAcentral.
UCGGAUUGUAGUCUGCAACCCGACUACAUGAAGCCGGAAUCGCUAGUAAUCGCGGAUCAGCAUGCCGCGGUGAAUACGUUCCCGGGCCUUGUACACACCGCCCGUCACACCAUGAGAGUCGGGAACACCCGAAGUCCGUAGCCUAACCGCAAGGGGGGCGCGGCCGAAGGUGGGUUCGAUAAUUGGGGUGAAGUCGUAACAAGGUAUC